Molecule: ribosomal RNA, 1948 nt
Filed under: human gut metagenome
Description: bacterial LSU rRNA
Rfam family: Bacterial large subunit ribosomal RNA
Source: RNAcentral
UUAAGCGACUAAGCGUACACGGUGGAUGCCCUGGCAGUCAGAGGCGAUGAAGGACGUGCUAAUCUGCGAUAAGCGUCGGUAAGGUGAUAUGAACCGUUAUAACCGGCGAUUUCCGAAUGGGGAAACCCAGUGUGAUUCGUCACACUAUCAUUAACUGAAUCCAUAGGUUAAUGAGGCGAACCGGGGGAACUGAAACAUCUAAGUACCCCGAGGAAAAGAAAUCAACCGAGAUUCCCCCAGUAGCGGCGAGCGAACGGGGAGCAGCCCAGAGCCUGAAUCAGUGUGUGUGUUAGUGGAAGCGUCUGGAAAGGCGCGCGAUACAGGGUGACAGCCCCGUACACAAAAAUGCACAUGCUGUGAGCUCGAUGAGUAGGGCGGGACACGUGGUAUCCUGUCUGAAUAUGGGGGGACCAUCCUCCAAGGCUAAAUACUCCUGACUGACCGAUAGUGAACCAGUACCGUGAGGGAAAGGCGAAAAGAACCCCGGCGAGGGGAGUGAAAAAGAACCUGAAACCGUGUACGUACAAGCAGUGGGAGCACGCUUCGGCGUGUGACUGCGUACCUUUUGUAUAAUGGGUCAGCGACUUAUAUUCUGUAGCAAGGUUAACCGAAUAGGGGAGCCGAAGGGAAACCGAGUCUUAACUGGGCGUUAAGUUGCAGGGUAUAGACCCGAAACCCGGUGAUCUAGCCAUGGGCAGGUUGAAGGUUGGGUAACACUAACUGGAGGACCGAACCGACUAAUGUUGAAAAAUUAGCGGAUGACUUGUGGCUGGGGGUGAAAGGCCAAUCAAACCGGGAGAUAGCUGGUUCUCCCCGAAAGCUAUUUAGGUAGCGCCUCGUGAAUUCAUCUCCGGGGGUAGAGCACUGUUUCGGCAAGGGGGUCAUCCCGACUUACCAACCCGAUGCAAACUGCGAAUACCGGAGAAUGUUAUCACGGGAGACACACGGCGGGUGCUAACGUCCGUCGUGAAGAGGGAAACAACCCAGACCGCCAGCUAAGGUCCCAAAGUCAUGGUUAAGUGGGAAACGAUGUGGGAAGGCCCAGACAGCCAGGAUGUUGGCUUAGAAGCAGCCAUCAUUUAAAGAAAGCGUAAUAGCUCACUGGUCGAGUCGGCCUGCGCGGAAGAUGUAACGGGGCUAAACCAUGCACCGAAGCUGCGGCAGCGACACUAUGUGUUGUUGGGUAGGGGAGCGUUCUGUAAGCCUGUGAAGGUGUACUGUGAGGUAUGCUGGAGGUAUCAGAAGUGCGAAUGCUGACAUAAGUAACGAUAAAGCGGGUGAAAAGCCCGCUCGCCGGAAGACCAAGGGUUCCUGUCCAACGUUAAUCGGGGCAGGGUGAGUCGACCCCUAAGGCGAGGCCGAAAGGCGUAGUCGAUGGGAAACAGGUUAAUAUUCCUGUACUUGGUGUUACUGCGAAGGGGGGACGGAGAAGGCUAUGUUGGCCGGGCGACGGUUGUCCCGGUUUAAGCGUGUAGGCUGGUUUUCCAGGCAAAUCCGGAAAAUCAAGGCUGAGGCGUGAUGACGAGGCACUACGGUGCUGAAGCAACAAAUGCCCUGCUUCCAGGAAAAGCCUCUAAGCAUCAGGUAACAUCAAAUCGUACCCCAAACCGACACAGGUGGUCAGGUAGAGAAUACCAAGGCGCUUGAGAGAACUCGGGUGAAGGAACUAGGCAAAAUGGUGCCGUAACUUCGGGAGAAGGCACGCUGAUAUGUAGGUGAAGCGACUUGCUCGUGGAGCUGAAAUCAGUCGAAGAUACCAGCUGGCUGCAACUGUUUAUUAAAAACACAGCACUGUGCAAACACGAAAGUGGACGUAUACGGUGUGACGCCUGCCCGGUGCCGGAAGGUUAAUUGAUGGGGUUAGCGCAAGCGAAGCUCUUGAUCGAAGCCCCGGUAAACGGCGGCCGUAACUAUAACGGUCCUAAGGUAGCGAAAUUCCUUGUCAGGU